AAGUGUAAUAAAUUAGGGUAGAAAUGGAGGGAGGGUUUUGCAGAAGGGCACGUGAUGAGGUUGCAGAGGGAAUCUAAGGAAGGUGAUUCCCGAGACAUAUGGCGUUAAAGCAUCCAACAAAAGCAAAAGAAAGAAAACAGCUAGCACCUCUGCAUCUGGUCCACCACGUUACCAUCAUAUCUUCAUUUACCACACAUUUUUUUAUGAUUUCAAGAUAAAAAAGCUGAGCUGUGCUGGUGAAAUUUGCAUGCGUUCCCUUUCAUCUGCCUUAUUUAUGGAACUCAAUGAGAGUAGCUUCCAGUAGGGUUCAGUAGAUAGGGUUUUCAUUAUGGUCAAGGCUUCUCUAUUGACUCUUUACCCUUAUAACCUUUUUCAAUACCAUUAGGGUUGUUCAGCCUAGAUUUAACACUGCCUUUUCCAUUUCGAGUAUCUCUCUCAUGCCCACCCACUUCAUGUAUAUAUAUAUUGACUCUUUUCUCUCAAAUAAUCUUGUGGAGGAUCCUAGAUCUCAGAUCUAAGCUUUUUGUUUUGCUGUUCUUUCUCAGAAAACUAGAGAGAAAGAAAGGCCUGUGCUUUGUUUUCCUGCCUUCAGGUCUCAGAUUCGUGUCCUUGGCCUUCAUUUGUUCUUGAGUUUUCUGCAUCAUCGUUGUUUGCUGAAGGAUGAUACAUCUCACAAGAUGGUGUAGAAGAAGAGAUCUGGAUCUUUGUUGAAGGUAAUUCAAGAGUGAUGUGACAAUAGAACCAGCACGAAGCACUUUCAGUGGAGAUUGAUACCGUUUUUUGUUCAUGAUUGUUUUAUUUUCAAAAGUAACACUGAAAUGUGUUUUGCUUAUAUGCAAGCAGUUGUAUUAAGUUUGUAUUGUUUGAUAUUCAUUAAUAAAUUGGUAUUAUGUUUAAUUUA
Vigna radiata var. radiata (mung bean) is the source of this 901-nucleotide long non-coding RNA. RefSeq lists it as uncharacterized. The record is from RefSeq and is a predicted model, not a curated record. The transcript is spliced from 2 exons. NCBI's taxonomy places the organism in Eukaryota, Viridiplantae, Streptophyta, Magnoliopsida, Fabales, Fabaceae.